RNAcentral lists this long non-coding RNA (2704 nucleotides) under Homo sapiens (human). Its description in RNAcentral is "HSALNT0380754". Lineage: Eukaryota; Metazoa; Chordata; Mammalia; Primates; Hominidae. The record is from RNAcentral.
GUUUACAUACACUUAGGGCCACAGUUUAUCUCUUUCUUCUUUCAUUUAUUUAGCAUAUAGAAAGGCAAAGCAAAUCAAGUCAAAAUACAAAUUGUUCCUAACUCAUAUGUGCACAGGUAUCAAUGAGCUGAUGUGUAUAUGAAAUGAUAACACUUUUUUUACAUAUAACUUCCAAGUCAUUUGAGCUAAAAAUAAAUCUACCAUUGACCCCAAGCAGGAAGUUAGACAUAUGAAAAAUUGCUCUGUACCUCUACAUAGGUGCAUUCUUCAAGCAAACAUGGAAUUGGAUACAACUUUCCUCUUGAUCAGUACAAAUUAGGGAGAAGAUAUCAUUUAAAUAUUGUGUAUUAUCUAAAACUCUCUGACUAUAUAACCUCAGAUAGAUUACAUAAGACAGAACUAGUUACAGGGCUGUUAUUUUUCCCUACUACCAAAACAUCGUUAAUCACAGAAGCAUUUCUGCUCAAACAGAAAAGCAGUAUAUUACAAUUUUAUUAUUUAAAGAUCUUGAAAACGGUUUGUAGACAAUAUUAUCAGUCACCUCCAGACAGUGGGAGGAGAAUGGGGGAAGAAGAAUCAGAUAGAGUUAGAAUUCUCAAAAGUUUAUAACAAAUAGACUUGAAUGUUUGUUCUAAAUACGAGUGCCUUGUUUACACAUGAUUAACACAAUACGAGAAGGCAUUCUAUAACCUAAACUAAUCCAAAUCCUACCUGCUUGACUAAUAGUGGCAGUCAUUAAUUGAUUUCGCAGUAGCUAGAUUUUUCUUUUAUCAUUUCACAAUCGGGUUGGCAAAAACUGAAAAGAUGUAGUAAUGAAAAACAGAGAAAAAUACUCCCAAAUGACAUAAAAAUGCAUUUGGAAGUUGCUUGGCUUAUUCAAGAUAAAAGCCUUGGAAAAAUUAGCCCUGGUAUCAUGGAAAAUAUUUUUGAAAUUUUGGUGACUCCUUGUUCUUCGUGAAGAAAAUAAAUCAUGGUAUCAGUGGAGCAGAAAACACAAGGGAAUUUUCAAUGAAAUGUUUUCUUUCUUUUCCACUGAUGCAAUAUUUGAAAUGGGAGCACAGGGCAUAUUUCUAAGCAAAGUAGUUUUCAACAAGCAUAGCUCUUUUCGGUAAAUCACCUGUGGUCUUAUGAACAAAUAAUUGUAGACAUCAAAUUAAAAGACAUGAAUUUAACAUACGAAUUGUGGUCUUUGUAACUGAUUAAAUCAUGUAUCAGUCUUCACAUGUCCUUUAUUCACAUUCAAAGCACUCUAAUCAGAGUGAAACAUUGCUUAGGUUUUGUUAGGACAUUACCACACUUUGUAAAUCAUCAUACUUUAUGAAGUAAUGACCUCUUUAUUACCUCAGUAGGAAGGUCUGCAUUCAUUUAUCACAUGGUAAAACUGGUCUUGAUCCUUGAAGAAACUAAGCAAGGAGUGAGAGCUCUGUUGUUCUGCUGAUGGGGCUCAGUCUGUUCUUCCUCUUUUCCAACAAUCACACUUAUUUCCAGGAAAGAGUUAGCAGUAUUGAUAUAGUCCAGGGACUCCUAGAAACACCUGUUGUGUUGCUUUGGUGAGCAGAUGCUGUUCAUCUUCCAUGGCACCUGUAUUUUAUCUGCAUGGAGAUGAGCUCAGCCAGAGUACUUCUCAGAGAGGAUACCACGUGGAUGCAAAUAAGAGCAGAGAAAGCACCGAGUAGUUACAAUGGUCCUUGCUGGGUGUUUGGAGAAGCUAAUUAUUUGAGAGAGAAACAAGCCUAGGAAAGACUUUUGGGAUUAGGUGAAAAGUGUACCCUUGCAGGGAGCAAGAAGCCAUGCCAUGCCCAGGCUUUCGAUCGCUCCACCACAGGAUAUCAUUGUCCACAGGCCCUAACUUUAGUUCUUGAUUUUUCCAACCUCUCUUUAAAGUUUAUUCUUAUUUUCCAAAACUUAGAAACCAUGCCCAAUGGAAUAUUGGCUGUGAAAUGAAUGAAUGUGUGUCUCUGUUAGAUCAGCCAGGCUGUUUCUCUUAACACAUUCCCCCGACAUGAUUCUGAGAUACAUUAACAUCACAAUGCUUUCUUGACCAUCGAGUCACACAGAAAUGAAACCAGUCUGAAAAGAUUUACUUUCCACAAGGCUAUUUAAGUUACGACUACAAUUUUUCUAGAGUCUCUUCUAGUUCCAAAGUACACAUAUAUGAGUUAUCUUUUUCUUUUCAAGACGAAUUUUCUGGUUAUGCUCCAUUGUAAAUCCCCUUUCGAAGUAGAAAGGACUUGUAAAUAAAUAAUAUGAGAAAUUAUUGUUACUUUUAUCUAGGUUGAGGGGUUUAUAUAAAUUCUGAGAAUAAUGAAGGAUUCUAUACUAUGUAAUCUAUGAAUCCCAUUUUUUGCCGAAGAUGUGACAUGCCAUGAGACUUUGCUGAUGUGAAUGGAUACUAUACAUCUUAUGUUCUUUUUCAAUCACUUAUUCUCCUACCUUAUGAUGCCUGUUUUAUUUUCUUGCCCCAAGUAAUGUUCUCUCUCAGUCUCUGAGGACUUAAUAGCUCCAUAAAGGCAAGGAUCUUUAAUUUUUUUUCGGUUUUAUUCACUGCUUUAUAUCUAGAGCCUAAAACGAUGUCUGGCAUACAAUAAACACUCAAUAUUUAUUGACUGUUGAAUGAGUUUUGGUUUUUAAAUUUAGAUGAUGAAAGCAAAUAUAUAUCUAGCCACUAGUAUGUGCCAAAUACUCUUUUAAGCACUUUACACCU